This 2970-nucleotide long non-coding RNA is filed under the name Gossypium barbadense (sea-island cotton). RNAcentral describes it as "long non-coding RNA (GBAR_LNC010209)". The record is from RNAcentral. Lineage: Eukaryota; Viridiplantae; Streptophyta; Magnoliopsida; Malvales; Malvaceae.
UACUUGUGACCUAGCUACAUACCAUCUGUAUCAUCCAAUCUUUCCGAAGGUUCAACCGAGAUUUCUCUCUCUUUCUAAUACUUGAUUCCAUACUUCCAAUAGUCAAUUAUGAUUCAAAAAUCAGCUACAAUACAUAAAAUAUGCUGAAAUACAAAAACAUAAUAAAGAUAAUGUAUUAUUUUCAUACAAACUUACAUACUUUCUCAUUUCCAUGUCGAAUUAAUAUUGAACAUUUAAAUCAUCAUAAUUAUACUUACUUUCAAAACCUCGGCAAUCAUUGUAAAUAUGUUAAUUUUACAUUGAAACAUGCAUAAAUUAAUGCUUAUUAUACAUAUGACCUUACCUCGAUGCUAAAACGAUCAUUUUACCAACUUUCAUGAUUUUUGAUUUUUCUCCCAUUCUAGAUUCAAAUCUCAUUUUUCGGGAUCUAAAACAUCAUAUUUUACUUAUUUAGUUAAUGUACUAUUCAAGACAGUCCUUAACUCAAACUUUGGAAAAAUUACAAUUUUGACCCUAAACUUUUGCAUAUUUACACUUUUGCCCCUAGGCUCGUGAAUUAAAAUUCAACCCUUAUUCUUAUGUUUUAUGACAUGCUGAUCAUUUUUUCCUUCUAUAGCAACAUCAAAUUCUCACUCUAACACAUAGUUAUGAACAAUAACAACUUUUACCGAUUAAGCCGUUUUACUCAUUUUUGCUUAAAACCGCUUAGCAAAAGUUGUUUAACAUAAUUUCAGCCUUCAUAUUCUACCAUAAAACAUCAAAAUAAACACAUUUCACCUAUGGGUAUUUUUCCAAAUAUGAACCCUAGCUUUUUAGGAACAUGGUUCGACUUUGGUUGAGCAAGUUUUGGGUUUAGUGAUUACGGUUUGUAAAUGAGAACUGUACUAAUCAAUUGUAGGACAUCGAAAGGGAUCUCGGUAGCAGUCGUCGCGAAUCAGGUGUGUACCGAACACCCUUUCUUAGUUCAAUUCGGUAAAAGCCGAAAUGCCGAAAUUCUGGCAUUUCAUGGGCUUGUGAGUAUGCGAAUGAUCUCGAGACAUAGAGUAAUUGUUAGACCUAGCACCGCAAGGUGGUAAGUAAGUUUGUGUGACGUCUUAACGUACUUCGGAAAAAGAGGGCCUCGAUGGGCCAAAAACUGGGCCCAAUGGGCUUACGGACCAAUAUGGGUAAGAGAUGGGCAAAUUAGCCUGUUAGUUAGAUGGUGGAACCAAACUGCAUAAAACUGUUGAAAAUUACUGAAGUAGCUUGUGUAGUUGCUAAGUUACGAGAAUUACCCCUAAAGAGUAAAAUUACCGAUAUACCCUUAGGGUUUAAAUUGGCUAAACUGCAUGAUUGAUUAAUACUGUAUUGUACAUGAUAUGCUUUAUUAAUAUCUGUUGCAUGGGAUUGGGGUAUUGAUGGAGGAAGUAUUGAAAGUGGUUCAUCCACGUACUGGAGGCUUUGCCUCAACUUACUGAUAUUUGAGCAGCGUUGCUGCAACUGUGGAGUGUAGGGCUGGGUGGGUUGAGAUAUUCCCCACAUGGAGUGUAGGGCUGGUACGGGGCAGUGUAGCGGUUGGUGGGUUGAGUAGUCUCCCCAGAUGGGUUUGCAUGCAUUACUACUAUUGUUACCUAUGUUACUGAACUGGGCCUAUGGGCCACACUGUUAUGUAAAAAGGGGCUAAGGCCUUGCUAUUGUAUUCUGAAAAGGGCUUCGAUCCACUGUGUAUUGUUAUCUGAAUGGGGCUUAGGCCCAAUGGGAUCGAGCUGAUUUGGGCUUUGGAUGGGUUUCUGUAUACACUGAGUUUUCCCAAACUCACCCCCUUUUCUUCCAUCCUUGCAGGUGAGCCCUAGUUGGUGGACUUGGAGCUGGGCGGGAUUCGGAGUGGCCACACGUUUUCUGCAAAUUCGUUUUCUUCUGGUGAAUUAGAUUUUCCAUAUUUUCAUUUAUGGUUUUGGGUUUUUUUGUAAUAAGGCCGCUAAUUAUUUUUAUGGUUUGGGUUGUUUCUUUAUUAUUUAAUUCUAUUAUGUUAAAACUGAACUAUGAUAACUAACGAAAUAGAUUAGCUCUAGGACGCGUUUUCAAAAACAUUAAGUGAUUUCAAAAUAACAUGAAUACGAGUAAGACUUCCGCUAAGCAAACGUUUUCAACCUUAAUCAUUUUCUUAAGAUGGACCUAACCAAACGAUUUUCUUAAAAUUAUACGAGAUGUUAGAGUGUGGCAAUGGCGGUGUGCAUGUCUAGGAUUGGAUCCGAAGGGAGCUUGCUACUUAAGCAGUUCGACGGACUCACCUCCUCUUCUUCCUGGUUUCCUACCUGGUGCACAGCUUCCAUUCACUUUAACUUACUUUUAAAAGUGUCUUUUACAACACCAACUAAGUUUUUCAACUAAGUAAUACGGAAUGUUUUGAACGCUUCGAUGUGGCGCAUCAGAUCCGAUCAUAACGUCUAGGCCGGGUUUGGGGUGUUACACCUUCACUUAGCACCACUCAUGUGACCUAGCUCGAUUGUACACAUAAUUUUAACUCUCUUGUACACAUGGUGAACACUGAGUACCACCCAUGUGACCUAGCCAGUUUAUCUCGUAGCUCUCUUGUCUACAUGGUGUCCUUCACCUAGAACCACGCAUGCGACCUAGCUACAUAUAUCCCGUAGCUCUCUUGUCUACAUGGUGUACACAUAGUAUCACCCAUGUGACCUAGUUACAUCUUAAUGUCUCGUAGCUCUCUUGUACACAUGAUGUGCACUCAGCACCAUACAUGUAACCUAGCUACAUACCAUCUGUAUCAUCCAAUCUUUCCGAAGGUUCAACCGAGAUUUCUCUCUCUUUCUAAUACUUGAUUCCGUACUUCCAAUAGUCAAUUAUGAUUCAAAAAUCAGCUACAAUACAUAAAAUAUGCUGAAAUACAAAAACAUAAUAAAGAUAAUGUAUUAUUUACAUACAAACUUACAUACUUUCUUAUUUCCAUGUUGAAUUAAUAUUGAACAUUUA